UGGGGAAUUUUGGACAAUGGGCGCAAGCCUGAUCCAGCAACGCUGCGUGAAGGACGAAGGUCUUCGGAUUGUAAACUUCUUUUGCAGGGGACGAAUGUCCGGGCAACCGGAUUUGACGGUACUCUGCGAAUAAGCCACGGCUAACUACGUGCCAGCAGCCGCGGUAAGACGUAGGUGGCGAGCGUUACUCGGAAUCACUAGGCGUAAAGCGCGUGUAGGCGGGCAGUUAAGUCCAACGUUAAAUCUCCCGGCUCAACCGGGAACUGUCGUUGGAUACUGGCUGUCUUGAGUGAUGCAGGGGAAACUGGAAUUCCCGGUGUAGCAGUGAAAUGCGUAGAGAUCGGGAGGAACACCAGUGGCGAAGGCGGGUUUCUGGGCAUCCACUGACGCUGAAGCGCGAAAGCUAGGGGAGCAAACA
Molecule: ribosomal RNA, 418 nt
Filed under: uncultured prokaryote
Description: bacterial SSU rRNA
Rfam family: Bacterial small subunit ribosomal RNA
Source: RNAcentral